GAUAAUUUAAAGAUUCUUUGAAACGUUUAUAUACGCAUCUAAGAAAAGUUAUAGAAAACCCGGUUGGCGAAACUGAGUAUUAAAGUUGACACUCCGUAGUUACGUGCCAGACAAUCGGUAUCAAGCGUAAUAUUACGCCAUCUAGUCCUGUGAAAAUCCGUUGCCCACUUCAUUCAUUGUGUUUCUUUGCCAGCACAUAAUUUCGUCCAGCUGACUCUUUUAUCUGUGUAGGACCGUUUAUAUCUUAUCUUCGACGUCUUGCUGAAUAUUACUAAAGAGAUCUUCAAAGAACGAGUGCGGAGUUUAGAAAGUAGAGCAUGUAAAUGGGGUGUACUGUUCCGUGUCAAGUGUAGUGUCGUUGAUAAAGAAUAGUUUGUGUUUGCUUGUAUUACGACUACUAUCAGUAUAUUACGCCCCUGGAUAGCGUAUCGCAUUUUCGUGCCCCUCGAAACAGCAACUUCUGGGUUGAGGACGCCGCUCUGAACCUAAUAGAACUUAACAGGAAGCCCAAUACGAAUCGAUAGCCCUCUGCGACGACCCUAUGGCUUGGCAGUACUGACUACUGAUCCAUUUUGCUCCAGGCUUACUUCAUUGACAUCUAAGCGGCUUUCAACAUGUUCCUACUUUGCACCUUUGGUCUUUCCUUGGUCUUCUAUCUUUCUACAGCACAACUGCAGCCUGGAGUUCCUUCGCUUCCUCAUGGCGUCAGCCGACACCGUCAACUACAACUAUCAUACUUGCAGCGACGUCCUGAUCAAGAAGGUGUGAAGCAGCCAGAGGCCAAAUUCAUCAGACCUUUCGCUUUCCGAAGGCCAAUCGUUAUACGACGGCCAAUUAGGCCACAAAUUUUAGUCCCACCAUACUCCGCCGCUGC
Molecule: long non-coding RNA, 874 nt
Organism: Varroa destructor (honeybee mite)
Lineage: Eukaryota; Metazoa; Arthropoda; Arachnida; Mesostigmata; Varroidae
Source: RefSeq, a predicted model, not a curated record